CAUUUCUACAAAGGCGGCUGCACAUAUACGUGACCUCUUCUGCAUCUGAAAGGCUGCCUGGUGACAAGCCAUGUGAUGGGAGAGGAAGAGUCCAGUUUUGCAAAAGCCUGUAGAAGUGCAGCAUAUGCAACAAGUGAAAGCAGUCACUGUCUGUGAGGGGGCCCUGUUCAGUACCUCUGAGAGGUACCUGAAAACACUGGUUGAAUGGAGUGUAAUGCCCCUUCUUCUCGAUUGUGGAAAACAGACUACUUCAACUUUUAUGGCAGUGGGGAUGCUAAUGAUGCAACAAUUGUAAGACUUCAGAUGCUCAAACACUGAAGAGCCUAAAAAUGCACCAGAGCUGAUGAACAACUCUGCACCAAACUAAAUAUAGAAACAGCUUUUCAUAAGAUGACAAUGAAGCCUUCCUCAUGCUCUCAUUGUGUUCACAACUGACAUCUGGUCUCCCAGGUACUGAAAUGAAAUACUGGAUGGGAGCCACUUCAGGAGUGCUCAUUCUGAAAUGAGGUCAGAAGGAACAAACAAAACAUGCUUUGGCACAAACAAGGCAAACAAAAUGUACGAGGACAGCAGGUGAGAGGUUGAUUUUUUUUUCCUUGGGCUAACACUCCAAAUUGAGAAGAGGCCUUCACCCCGAUAUCGUUACCAUCACCUGCUCCUUGCAACAGCCAGUAGGCAGUACCUACGCAGGUAUUUUUGUAAGGAAAAAAACAUACAAAUGCACACAGCACAAAAUAUAGAGAGUUUUUUGGAACUGAGGGCUGGUAACUAAAGUGACUUAUUGCUUUAGCGGCUGCGUCAGAAUCUUGGACUGUUGGACACAAGCAGUCUGGCGGGUUUAAGUCAUGUCUGCAAGAGACCAGGGGAAGGGAAACAGACAUUGCCUAGCAUUUGGAAAAUCAGCCACCAGACUAACAUGGCAGUGAAUGUUCAUGAGAGAAUGUUCAUGUUCAUGACCACAUCCACUGCUUUUCAAGGUCAUGUGGACAUCAAAUAAAGUCUAAUAUAGUUAGAUGAAUGUGUGUACUUUUAUCCGAUGAUGGAUGGAUACACACGUACACAUCUUGGCACAUUUCAACUAUCUUAUUCUUGCAGCCUUCAUAGUAACUUAAGUGAGUACUCUAAACCCUUAAUCCUGGUGUAGGGAUUGCCUAUACCAGUAGUUCACCUAACUGUGUUUAAAAGGGAGCAAAGCUCCCUGGUUUGUAACACAGUACAAAUGCCAUUUUACUCUAGUGAAAGGAAUAUUAAGGCUUACUCUAGUACUAUUAAUCCAUUACUGCCAGUUUCUGAUUGUUGGCCACACUUCUCUUUAUGUUGUUGCUGUAUUUUGCACGUGAGCCCUUUCAAGCAAUACUGUAAAAUGCAAAAAUCAGUACAUCUAGUUAACUUCUACCCUGAUCUCAGGGUAAUUAGGCCAAUCUUCAUUGACUAGGCCAAGCAGUUUGUAUGUGAAGUAGACAUCUGUAGUUUCUGCUACUUGCUCUGAAAUUCUAAUUUUGCUUCCUACAAGACACUUACUGCUGUAUGUUUAGUUAUUUUCCUUUUGAAAUUAAACGCCAGUCUCCAUUUCCCUGAUUCUUCCCUACUCAUGCCCUUGUCCUUCCACUUAUUUCCACCCCCACCUUUACUGAGGUGCUACCUAGGCACCAGUCUCAGGAGAAAUCCACAAGUUAAAGCUUUUUUCCAGACUAUGUGUGCAUGUUUCCAUAAAACUGAACAUGGCCUCCCUGAAAACACUGAAGGUUUAUUCAACAAGUUUGCCAGUGGCACAAGUUACAGAGUAAACUGGAGUAGCAGUAGGAGUUAGUAAGCCUAGUACUCCAUGGACAUGUUUGUUUUGUUUGCAUUUAACACACAAAAAACAAAACGAAAAAACCUCACACAACCAAAAAACCCUAUGGCUUUAAUGUCCUGUCUACUUGUGCCAACAGUGCCAUCUGCUGGAUGGAAUCAGACUAGCCUGAAUUUGAUUACUGCCCACUAGUGGCUGGAGGUUUGCAAAAAACAGAAGAGACCUAAUAAGAGAUCCUUCUUUUGCUUAAAUGGUAAAUGCCUGUUUCUGAAGCAGAAGACCACAAGUUCAGUUCCAAACCUCAUAUGCAGCUUAGUUAGCAACCAUGGUGUUAACUGUAUGAUGCAAUGCUUUGGUAGAGAAUGCUACACUUCAACAACAUAUUCAAUACUUCAACCGAUGUUGACUGUAUUACCCUACUCUGGGAAACUGCCUAUUCGUCCUCAAGGAACAUUGCUGUGAUGUGAGUUAACUCAAACUGCAUUGACCUGCUACAGUGAAAUCUAGGAGGGCACAAAUGACAAAAGCAGGUUGAAUUCAACCCUUAAAAUUGUCCAAAUGCACUCAGCCAGUUAGGGCAAUGAUAUGUGACUAUUACAGUUUUCAUCUAUCAAAAAACAUUCCUAUCAAUUUACAGAAUGCUGCUUACUUACUG
Molecule: long non-coding RNA, 2450 nt
Organism: Chrysemys picta bellii (western painted turtle)
Lineage: Eukaryota; Metazoa; Chordata; Testudines; Emydidae
Source: RefSeq, a predicted model, not a curated record